GAUGAACGCUGGCGGCGUGCUUAACACAUGCAAGUCGAACGGAAAGGCCCAAGCUUGCUUGGGUACUCGAGUGGCGAACGGGUGAGUAACACGUGGGUGAUCUGCACUGCACUUCGGGAUAAGCCUGGGAAACUGGGUCUAAUACCGGGUAGGACCAUAUUUUGGACGGUGUUGUGGAAAGGUUUUCGGUGUGGGAUGAGCUCGCGGCGUAUCAGCUUGUUGGUGGGGUAAUGGCAUACCAAAGCGUCGACGGGUAGCCGGCAUGAGAGAGUGUACGGCCACUUUAGAACUGUGAGGCAGGCCGGAGUCCUGCGGGUGGCAGCAGGGGGGAAUAUUUGACAAUGCGCGGAAGCCUGAGGCAGCGAGGCCGCGUGGUGGAUGACGGCCUUUGGGUUGUAAACUCCUUUCUCUAGGGACGAAGCGUUUUUGUGACGGUACCUGGAGAGGAAGCACCGGCUAACUACGUG
RNAcentral lists this ribosomal RNA (467 nucleotides) under uncultured bacterium. Its description in RNAcentral is "partial 16S ribosomal RNA". It matches the Rfam family "Bacterial small subunit ribosomal RNA", at positions 28 to 507 of the family's 1533-position model. The record is from RNAcentral.